Equus caballus (horse) is the source of this 1307-nucleotide long non-coding RNA. RefSeq lists it as uncharacterized. The record is from RefSeq and is a predicted model, not a curated record. Lineage: Eukaryota; Metazoa; Chordata; Mammalia; Perissodactyla; Equidae.
GAGAGGCUAUAUGGGAUGCUGUCUCUGAGGGCUGGCCCUGGGACCACACUGCCUGAGUUUGAAUCUGGCUCCACCAUUUAUUAGUGUGUGAUUUGGGAAAAAGCAAAAUGCACUUUCGUCUUUGCCUCCAAAAGUAAUAAAGAAAAUUGUCGUAAAUGGGAUCCAGAUGAACAAGGUUCCCUGUGGGAACAAAAGAGUCUCAGUCGACAGACAGAGAGAAGCAGGAUCUGCGACCCUCCGCUGCGCGUCUGUCAUACGCGGGAUUUGUAUGCAGAGAGGAAAAGAAUUGCUGAAUAGGAUUACUACUCCGAAGGGGAAAACAAAAGAAGUUUAACAAUCAAUGCAUGAAAGAGAGCAAGCAAACCUCUCCACGGAGGUCGAAGAGAAAGAAAAGAGUUUCUUACUGAAUAAGCGCUAAACCAGAAUGUGAUGCUCAUCACAGGCCAUCUGCUAAGAGAUUGCAAAGACACAAAGAAACCUCCCUCAUCGACAGACAUGUGGCUACUACCCGCCAGGUCACGAGUGCUUACUCACGGUGGAGGACUUGAGAGCUGGGAGGCCAGCGGGCUGGAGCUCAGUGAAGCCACAGAGCCGAGUUGCGGAUCACCAGACAUGGCAAGGAGGACCAGGGCAUCCAGGAGGACCACUGCUGGGGCUUUGCUGCGUCCUGGCAGGGGUCAUCCUUGGGGAAGUUCAGUCUGCUCAAUUCCGGGAGUUUGGGAAUGGCUUGGAGAAGACUUUGGCAUGAAAAGAGCUUUUCCUCUUAGAAAAGUUGAACCAAGUUGGUUAAUAAAGUUACCCAAUGUCGUUCCGAUCAAAAGGGUCCAAAUUAUGCCUCAGUCCUGCGGCCAUAGCUGCACUGAGGGGUGGCGUGAAACUGCUUGUGGGAGGCACGUAGAUAGGAAUCAUUACCGUUUAUUGACUGCUUGCUGAGAGCCAGGCUCUCUGCAGAACCUUUACUUCAGGAUCUUAUUUAUUAAGACGCACAAUGUUCUCCAGAGGAGACAGGUCUCUUCCUGUUUGGGAACAAUCAGGAGAGAGAAAAAUUCAACCCAGGGCAGGUCUCAGUGCCAAGAGGAGCUGUCCUAGUGAGAUGACCUCCUCUUCCACAGUGCAGGUCCCCCGGACAGGAAAGACCCUGCCCUCUCAGGCACCCCACGUCUUGGUCUCCUCCACCCACCCAGUGCCAGGGAAGCCAGUCCGUCUCCAACCCAGGCUGCCCUUGCUUUAGGAGGGAUGGCUUGCUGAGCACUGCGCUAUGAGCUUAUUGUUACAUUAACUCAUUCAUCCUCACCAUAAUCCUAUGA